GAUGAACGCUAGCGGCAGGCCUAAUACAUGCAAGUCGGACGGGAUUCAGGAGCUUGCUUCUGAUGAGAGCGGCGCACGGGUGCGUAACACGUAUGUAACCUACCUUUAUCAGGGGGAUAGCCUCUCGAAAGAGAGAUUAAGCCCGCAUAAAAUCACAGCACAGCAUUGUGUAAUGAUCAAAUAUUUAUAGGAUAAAGAUGGGCAUGCGGAACAUUAGCUAGAUGGCGGGGUAACGGCCCACCAUGGCGACGAUGUUUAGGGGAUCUGAGAGGAUGGCCCCCCACACUGGUACUGAGACACGGACCAGACUCCUACGGGAGGCAGCAGUAAGGAAUAUUGGUCAAUGGGCGGAAGCCUGAACCAGCCAUGCCGCGUGCAGGAAGACGGCCCUACGGGUUGUAAACUGCUUUUAUACGGGAAUAAACCCAGAUACGUGUAUCUGGCUGAAUGUACUGUAAGAAUAAGGAUCGGCUAACUCCGUG
Molecule: ribosomal RNA, 482 nt
Filed under: uncultured bacterium
Lineage: Bacteria
Description: partial 16S ribosomal RNA
Rfam family: Bacterial small subunit ribosomal RNA
Source: RNAcentral